GACGAACGCUGGCGGCGUGCCUAAUACAUGCAAGUCGAACGCAGUGGGGACGGGUGAGUAACACGUGGGUAACCUCCCAUCAGAGGGGAUAACACUUGGAAACAGGUGCUAAACCGAUACUGAUGGAUGGACCCGCGGUGCAUUAGCUAGUUGGUGAGGUAACGGCUCACCAAGGCCACGAUGCAUAGACGACCGGAGAGGGGGAUCGGCGACACUGAGACGGAGACACGGCCCAGAAUCCUACGGGAGGCAGCAGGAGGGAAUAUUCGGGAAAGGACGAAAAUGUGACCGGGCAACGCCGCGGUAGUGAAGAAGGUUUGCGGAUCGUAAAACUCUGUUGUUAGAAAAGAGGUAUCUAACCAGAAAGCCACGGCUAACUCCGUGCCAGCAGCCGCGGUAAUAC
This 403-nucleotide ribosomal RNA is filed under the name uncultured bacterium. RNAcentral describes it as "partial 16S ribosomal RNA". It matches the Rfam family "Bacterial small subunit ribosomal RNA", at positions 28 to 526 of the family's 1533-position model. The record is from RNAcentral.